RNAcentral lists this ribosomal RNA (882 nucleotides) under Mariannaea elegans. RNAcentral describes it as "LSU rRNA". It matches the Rfam family "Eukaryotic large subunit ribosomal RNA", at positions 46 to 959 of the family's 3401-position model. The record is from RNAcentral. Lineage: Eukaryota; Fungi; Ascomycota; Sordariomycetes; Hypocreales; Nectriaceae.
AUAAGCGGAGGAAAAGAAACCAACAGGGAUUGCCCUAGUAACGGCGAGUGAAGCGGCAACAGCUCAAAUUUGAAAUCUGGCCUUCGGGUCCGAGUUGUAAUUUGCAGAGGAUGCUUUUGGUGAGGUGCCUUCCGAGUUCCCUGGAACGGGACGCCAUAGAGGGUGAGAGCCCCGUCUGGUCGGACACCAAUCCUUUGUAAAGCUCCUUCGACGAGUCGAGUAGUUUGGGAAUGCUGCUCUAAAUGGGAGGUAUAUGUCUUCUAAAGCUAAAUACCGGCCAGAGACCGAUAGCGCACAAGUAGAGUGAUCGAAAGAUGAAAAGCACUUUGAAAAGAGAGUUAAACAGUACGUGAAAUUGUUGAAAGGGAAGCGCUCAUGACCAGACUUGGGCUUGGUUGAUCAACUUGGGUUCUCCCGGGUGCACUCUUCCUCGUCCAGGCCAGCAUCAGUUCGCUGCGGGGGAUAAAGGUUUCGGGAAUGUGGCUCCCUCGGGAGUGUUAUAGCCCGUUGCGUAAUACCCUGCGGUGGACUGAGGUCCGCGCAUCUGCAAGGAUGCUGGCGUAAUGGUCAUCAGCGACCCGUCUUGAAACACGGACCAAGGAGUCGUCUUCGUAUGCGAGUGUUCGGGUGUUAAACCCCUACGCGGAAUGAAAGUGAACGCAGGUGAGAGCUUCGGCGCAUCAUCGACCGAUCCUGAUGUUCUCGGAUGGAUUUGAGUAAGAGCAUACGGGGCCGGACCCGAAAGAAGGUGAACUAUGCCUGUAUAGGGUGAAGCCAGAGGAAACUCUGGUGGAGGCUCGCAGCGGUUCUGACGUGCAAAUCGAUCGUCAAAUAUGGGCAUGGGGGCGAAAGACUAAUCGAACCUUCUAGUAGCUGGUUUCC